Non-coding RNA from Pseudomonadales bacterium RIFCSPLOWO2_12_59_9, 95 nucleotides. NCBI's taxonomy places the organism in Bacteria, Pseudomonadati, Pseudomonadota, Gammaproteobacteria, Pseudomonadales. The record is from Rfam.
AUAUCGCGCGCCCUUUUCUUGGCUUUGAAGGGUGUCGGUAGCUGUCAAAGGAGUCCAACUGAAUGGCCCGUAUUGCAGGCGUAAACAUUCCGGAU